RNAcentral lists this long non-coding RNA (552 nucleotides) under Homo sapiens (human). RNAcentral describes it as "HSALNT0280148". The record is from RNAcentral. Lineage: Eukaryota; Metazoa; Chordata; Mammalia; Primates; Hominidae.
GCGGGUUCCGUCCCCUCCUCGCCCCGGCCUGUAACUGCUGCGGGGGCCGCUUUCUGGGCCCGCCCCUCCAGGCCAGGAGCCUUUUUCAAAAUGUGGCGGUGGCAGGGAAGGUUGUCUGCUCCAGAGGCUUCCCUAGAGUGAAGAGCUCUACUAUGUAUGCUUUAUGCGGCAGAAGGAGUGCUUUGGAGGAGUUUUUAAAUUUGUUUUUUUUUUAAAUCUUAUCGGUUUUAAUUGUAGCAAUGAUUCAAGAAACGUUAGUAGGUGCCCAUAACUUCGGUGGUGGAGAUCCAAAAGUGAACAAGACAGUGUUCUGGCUGCUAAAUUCUUCUUAACUGGUUAUGCCUGGAGACCUUCACUUGGUUCUGUGCCAGCACUGCCCAUGAACUUCAUAGACUGUGAUCUUUGCUAAGGCCUAAAUGAAUGAAGUGCAGGUGCAGGACCGGAAGCAGAAGACAGAAAGUGGAGACCAGAUGUUUGAAGCUGGGUAAAGGCAGGGAUGGAGCAGGAACCGAGGAACAAACCUUGGAACUAGAAUGAGGAAAUACUUCCCGG